This 583-nucleotide long non-coding RNA is filed under the name Homo sapiens (human). RNAcentral describes it as "HSALNT0398312". The record is from RNAcentral. Lineage: Eukaryota; Metazoa; Chordata; Mammalia; Primates; Hominidae.
CAAAACACCAGGGGUUUGGUCUAGGUCAUGCUGCUCACAGCACAGAAAGCCAAUAAGGGAAGAAGGCUUUAAUUGGGCGCUGCCGCUGAGGAGAUGGUUCAAUCUCAAAUCCAUCUCCUUGACCAGCUAAAAUCAGGGGUUUAAAUAACAGGGAAGAAAUGUAACAAUGUGUAAGAAAACAGGAACUAGGGAGGGGCAAGGAAGCAGUCAUGAUGAAUGAGAGGUCCAUUAUCUCAUUGUCUGGAUGUGAUGAUCUGGCACUAUUACUGCUGGAGAUUCAGCAUGAACCAGACAGAUAAACACUUCCUGCCUCGGCCCUGAGCCCUCAGGAAACUUUCAAUCUAGGGAGGGAGAAAGACAAUAAACAAAAGAAAUGGGAGAAUGGCGUGAACCCGGCAGACGGAAUUUGCAGUGAGCCGAGAUCGCGCCACUGCACUCCAGCCUGGGCAACAGAGCGAGACUCUGUCUGAAAAAAAAAAAAGAAAAGAAAAAGAAAUGUGUCCUUUUAGUUUUUUGUGGUUAUUUUUUGCCAUACAAAAGGUAUUAAUUCUUAUGAAGUCAUAUGUAGCUAUAUUUUCUUUUC